UUUGAUAAUGAGCAGACAGUGGAGGCAUUACACACGUCUUUAGAAGAAUCAGACUUCCUACCUUGAAAAGACAGAUGGAGGUAAGUUCCUUUAUAUAUAAAAAAAAGUUGUAAGUAAAGCAGGCAGCAGUUGCAGUAAAUUGAGUCCUUUCAGUCACUGUAUACACACAGCAGUUCUGCAAUAAGGGGAAAAAUAUAAUGGGAGGAGCGGCUGUGAACGAGUGACCUCCUCAAGCUGAGUCCUCUCUGUGAACCAGGCAUUGAGAGCCACGGCUCCUGAUUUGCAUGGAUUAACUCCACUUGAACAGAUACAGAGCAGAUACAUUUAAAUUGAGCUGGCACAAUGGCAAAAAGAUGGAAGAGUGCGUGAAUGAGGGAAGGCGCAAGAGACGGAGAGAGAAAGAGAAACAGACACGAGAUCAGAGAGCGUGGAUAAGCUGGUUCUUGGAGAACUGUGUCUCAGAAGAGCUACAGCUCCCUCUUCAUGUCACAGUUAUUUUAAGAUGAACAUCGGUAAGGAGGAAAAGAAUCCUUUUGAAAAACUUUGGUGUCUGCAAGGCAUUCCUAAAGAAAGCCAGAAAGCCAAGUGACUUAUACAAAGAAGAUGCUUACCUGAACUCUGAACCCUAAAAAAAAUGGGUCUACAUGCACCUGCUAUCACCCAAGAAGGGUCUUGCAGCCUCUGCUCACUCCCUGAAACACGACUGCUGCUACGGAUACAAUCUCAGGCCAGCCUAUGGAGGAUAAAAGAACAUGAUGAAAGAUCCCAGUCAUCUCAGAAAUCUCAGAUGGGGGCAUCAUAAACUAUUCAGCUCCUGCUGACCCCCUAGUAAAUUACAGAUGCAUGAGCCAGUCCAGCUUAGUGGUCAAUCAAAGCCAAUCAUCAACCUGCAAAAUCAUGAACUAAAUACAUGUGUCUUUUUUGUUUUUUUUUUUGUUUUUUUGGUUUGGUUUUAAGUCACUAACUUUUGGGGGCUUCUACAAAAGCAGAUUAACACAAAUGACAAAAAGAGCUAUGAUAGGAAUAAACUCAGGGCACAGGGGACAGAGACAUGUUAAUCCAAUCUAUUGAUGUCAGGGAAGUCUGCCAGAAGGAAAUGACAUUCAACCUGAGAUGGAUGGAGCCAGAGUGGCAGCUAGCUAAUGACCUUGACCUCAGUGAUGUAAAAGCUUUAUAGGUAGAAGGCAUUCCUACCAUAUACAUCAGAAAUAACUGCAGAUAUUCAAGCCAAAAACCUUGAAGUUGCCCUUGACUUUACUUUUAUAUCUCACAUAAAAUCCCCUGUAAAUUCUGUCAUAUUUACCUGAAAUACAUCUAGGAUCCAGCCAAUUUCACCAUCCCCACUACUACUCUUCAGAUACAGACCCCAUAGUCACCUGAAUUCGCUCCUUAUGUCCUAUGGUCUGUGGGAUAUCACAGACUUCCUGCUUCCCUGGAGUCUAUUUCCACCACAGAAACUAGAAAGAGCCAGCUAAAGCACAAGUUAGAUCUUGCCAUUCUUCUGUUGAAAACCCUCUGUAGUGAGUUGGAUUGUCCCUACCGCCCCAGAAGUUAUAUUCAUAUUCUAAUCCCUAAAAUCUGGGAAUGUGACCUUAUUUGAAAAACAAACAAACGAAAGAUUGCUGAAGAUGUAAUUAAGGAUCUGAAGAUGAGAUCAUCUUGUAUUAUCCAGAUGGGCUCUAAAUCCAGUGACAAGUGUCCUUAUAAGAUACAGAAGGAGAGGAUGCAGUGACACUGAGGAGAAGGCUACCAGAACACAGAGGCACAGACUGGAGUGACAUAGUCCCAAGCCAAGGAAUGUAUGGAGACAUGGGAAGCCAAAUGAGGUAAGGAGGAAUUCUCCUUUACAGCCCUUGGAGGGAGCACAGAUCUACUAACACCUUGAGUUUAGACUUCCGUCCUCUAGAAGAACUAAGGGAAAUACAUUUCUGUGGUUUUAAGUAACUUAGUUUGUAGCAAUCUGUUAUGGCAGCCCCAGGAAACUAAUACAUCUUCCAAAGGUUUCUUAUGUCAUUCAGAGUAAAACAUAACCGCCAAAGUCCUAACGUUGGCUCACAAGGCCAUGCCUGGACUGCCUG
RNAcentral lists this long non-coding RNA (2078 nucleotides) under Aotus nancymaae (Ma's night monkey). RNAcentral's name for it is "lncRNA (ENSANAG00000038721.1)". The record is from RNAcentral. Lineage: Eukaryota; Metazoa; Chordata; Mammalia; Primates; Aotidae.